GACGAACGCUGGCGGCGUGCUUAACACCUGCAAGUCGAACGGAAAGGCCCUGCUUUUGUGGGGUGCUCGAGUGGCGAACGGGUGAGUAACACGUGAGUAACCUGCCCUUUACUUUGGGAUAACUUCCGGAAACUGGGGCUAAUACCCGAUAGGAGCUCCUGCUGCAUGGUGGGGGGUGGAAAGUUUCGGCGGUUGGGGAUGGACUCGCGGCUUAUCAGCUUGUUGGUGGGGUAGUGGCUUACCAAGGCUUUGACGGGUAGCCGGCCUGAGAGGGUGACCGGCCACAUUGGGACUGAGAUACGGCCCAGACUCCUACGGGAGGCAGCAGUGGGGAAUAUUGCACAAUGGGCGGAAGCCUGAUGCAGCAACGCCGCGUGCGGGAUGACGGCCUUCGGGUUGUAAACCGCUUUCGCCUGUGACGAAGCGUGAGUGACGGUAAUGGGUAAAGAAGCACCGGCUAACUACGUG
Molecule: ribosomal RNA, 468 nt
Filed under: uncultured bacterium
Lineage: Bacteria
Description: partial 16S ribosomal RNA
Rfam family: Bacterial small subunit ribosomal RNA
Source: RNAcentral